UAACAGGAUUUAGAUACCCUGGUAGUCCACCCCGUAAACGUUGGGAACUAGUUGUGGGGUCCUUUCCACGGAUUCCGUGACGCAGCUAACGCAUUAAGUUCCCCGCCUGGGGAGUACGGCCGCAAGGCUAAAACUCAAAGGAAUUGACGGGGACCCGCACAAGCGGCGGAGCAUGCGGAUUAAUUCGAUGCAACGCGAAGAACCUUACCAAGGCUUGACAUAUACGAGAACGGGCCAGAAAUGGUCAACUCUUUGGACACUCGUAAACAGGUGGUGCAUGGUUGUCGUCAGCUCGUGUCGUGAGAUGUUGGGUUAAGUCCCGCAACGAGCGCAACCCUCGUUCUAUGUUGCCAGCACGUAA
Molecule: ribosomal RNA, 361 nt
Filed under: Microbacterium sp.
Lineage: Bacteria; Bacillati; Actinomycetota; Actinomycetes; Micrococcales; Microbacteriaceae
Description: bacterial SSU rRNA
Rfam family: Bacterial small subunit ribosomal RNA
Source: RNAcentral